RNAcentral lists this ribosomal RNA (1480 nucleotides) under Salmonella enterica subsp. enterica serovar Infantis. RNAcentral's name for it is "bacterial SSU rRNA". It matches the Rfam family "Bacterial small subunit ribosomal RNA". Lineage: Bacteria; Pseudomonadati; Pseudomonadota; Gammaproteobacteria; Enterobacterales; Enterobacteriaceae. The record is from RNAcentral.
AACACAUGCAAGUCGAACGGUAACAGGAAGCAGCUUGCUGCUUUGCUGACGAGUGGCGGACGGGUGAGUAAUGUCUGGGAAACUGCCUGAUGGAGGGGGAUAACUACUGGAAACGGUGGCUAAUACCGCAUAACGUCGCAAGACCAAAGAGGGGGACCUUCGGGCCUCUUGCCAUCAGAUGUGCCCAGAUGGGAUUAGCUUGUUGGUGAGGUAACGGCUCACCAAGGCGACGAUCCCUAGCUGGUCUGAGAGGAUGACCAGCCACACUGGAACUGAGACACGGUCCAGACUCCUACGGGAGGCAGCAGUGGGGAAUAUUGCACAAUGGGCGCAAGCCUGAUGCAGCCAUGCCGCGUGUAUGAAGAAGGCCUUCGGGUUGUAAAGUACUUUCAGCGGGGAGGAAGGUGUUGUGGUUAAUAACCGCAGCAAUUGACGUUACCCGCAGAAGAAGCACCGGCUAACUCCGUGCCAGCAGCCGCGGUAAUACGGAGGGUGCAAGCGUUAAUCGGAAUUACUGGGCGUAAAGCGCACGCAGGCGGUCUGUCAAGUCGGAUGUGAAAUCCCCGGGCUCAACCUGGGAACUGCAUUCGAAACUGGCAGGCUUGAGUCUUGUAGAGGGGGGUAGAAUUCCAGGUGUAGCGGUGAAAUGCGUAGAGAUCUGGAGGAAUACCGGUGGCGAAGGCGGCCCCCUGGACAAAGACUGACGCUCAGGUGCGAAAGCGUGGGGAGCAAACAGGAUUAGAUACCCUGGUAGUCCACGCCGUAAACGAUGUCUACUUGGAGGUUGUGCCCUUGAGGCGUGGCUUCCGGAGCUAACGCGUUAAGUAGACCGCCUGGGGAGUACGGCCGCAAGGUUAAAACUCAAAUGAAUUGACGGGGGCCCGCACAAGCGGUGGAGCAUGUGGUUUAAUUCGAUGCAACGCGAAGAACCUUACCUGGUCUUGACAUCCACAGAAGAAUCCAGAGAUGGAUUUGUGCCUUCGGGAACUGUGAGACAGGUGCUGCAUGGCUGUCGUCAGCUCGUGUUGUGAAAUGUUGGGUUAAGUCCCGCAACGAGCGCAACCCUUAUCCUUUGUUGCCAGCGGUCCGGCCGGGAACUCAAAGGAGACUGCCAGUGAUAAACUGGAGGAAGGUGGGGAUGACGUCAAGUCAUCAUGGCCCUUACGACCAGGGCUACACACGUGCUACAAUGGCGCAUACAAAGAGAAGCGACCUCGCGAGAGCAAGCGGACCUCAUAAAGUGCGUCGUAGUCCGGAUUGGAGUCUGCAACUCGACUCCAUGAAGUCGGAAUCGCUAGUAAUCGUGGAUCAGAAUGCCACGGUGAAUACGUUCCCGGGCCUUGUACACACCGCCCGUCACACCAUGGGAGUGGGUUGCAAAAGAAGUAGGUAGCUUAACCUUCGGGAGGGCGCUUACCACUUUGUGAUUCAUGACUGGGGUGAAGUCGUAACAAGGUAACCGUAGGGGAACCUGCGGUUG